Molecule: ribosomal RNA, 253 nt
Filed under: uncultured bacterium
Lineage: Bacteria
Description: partial 16S ribosomal RNA
Rfam family: Bacterial small subunit ribosomal RNA
Source: RNAcentral
UACGAGGGGGGCAAGCGUUGUUCGGAAUUAUUGGGCGUAAAGGGCGCGUAGGCGGCGCGGUAUGUCUCUUGUGAAAUCUCCAGGCUCAACUUGGAGUCUGCAAGGGAAACUGCCGUGCUUGAGUACUGGAGAGGAGAGUGGAAUUCCCGGUGUAGCGGUGAAAUGCGCAGAUAUCGGGAAGAACACCCGUGGCGAAGGCGGCUCUCUGGGACGGUACUGACGCUGAGACGCGAAAGCGUGGGGAGCGAACAGG